GCUGAGGAGGAGCUUGCUUCUCUGGAUGAGUUGCGAACGGGUGAGUAACGCGUAGGUAACCUGCCUGGUAGCGGGGGAUAACUAUUGGAAACGAUAGCUAAUACCGCAUAAGAGUAGAUGUUGCAUGACAUUUGCUUAAAAGGUGCAAUUGCAUCACUACCAGAUGGACCUGCGUUGUAUUAGCUAGUUGGUGAGGUAACGGCUCACCAAGGCGACGAUACAUAGCCGACCUGAGAGGGKGAUCGGCCACACUGGGACUGAGACACGGCCCAGACUCCUACGGGAGGCAGCAGUAGGGAAUCUUCGGCAAUGGACGGAAGUCUGACCGAGCAACGCCGCGUGAGUGAAGAAGGUUUUCGGAUCGUAAAGCUCUGUUGUAAGAGAAGAACGAGUGUGAGAGUGGAAAGUUCACACUGUGACGGUAUCUUACCAGAAAGGGACGGCUAACUACGUGCCAGCAGCCGCGGUAAUACGUAGGUCCCGAGCGUUGUCCGGAUUUAUUGGGCGUAAAGCGAGCGCAGGCGGUUAGAUAAGUCUGAAGUUAAAGGCKGUGGCUUAACCAUAGUACGCUUUGGAAACUGUUUAACUUGAGUGCAAGAGGG
RNAcentral lists this ribosomal RNA (602 nucleotides) under Streptococcus mitis. RNAcentral's name for it is "bacterial SSU rRNA". Lineage: Bacteria; Bacillati; Bacillota; Bacilli; Lactobacillales; Streptococcaceae. The record is from RNAcentral.